RNAcentral lists this ribosomal RNA (946 nucleotides) under uncultured Acidobacteriota bacterium. Its description in RNAcentral is "bacterial SSU rRNA". It matches the Rfam family "Bacterial small subunit ribosomal RNA", at positions 1 to 919 of the family's 1533-position model. The record is from RNAcentral. Lineage: Bacteria; Pseudomonadati; Acidobacteriota.
UCUAGAUUAGAGUUUGAUCAUGGCUCAGAAUCAACGCUGGCGGCGUGCCUCAGACAUGCAAGUCGAACGCGAAACCUUCCUUCGGGAGGGGAGUAGAGUGGCGCACGGGUGAGUAACACGUAGGUAAUUUGCCUUUGGGUGGGGAAUAACUCAGGGAAACUUGAGCUAAUACCGCAUAAUGCAGCGGCUCGACAUCGAGACAGUUGUUAAAGCGGGGGAUUCCUUCGGGAACCUCGCGCCUAAAGAGAAGCCUGCGGCAGAUUAGCUAGUUGGUAAGGUAAUGGCUUACCAAGGCGACGAUCUGUAACCGGCCUGAGAGGGCGGUCGGUCACACUGACACUGACAUACGGGUCAGACUCCUACGGGAGGCAGCAGUCGGGAAUUUUGGGCAAUGGGCGAAAGCCUGACCCAGCAACGCCGCGUGAAGGAUGAAAUUUUUCGGAAUGUAAACUUCGCAAGAACGGGAAGAAUAAGUAGAAGAUAAUACCUUCUAUGAUGACGGUACCGUUUGUAAGCUCCGGCUAACUCCGUGCCAGCAGCCGCGGUAAUACGGGGGGAGCAAGCGUUGUUCGGAUUUACUGGGCGUAAAGGGCGCGUAGGCGGUCGUGACAAGUCACUUGUGAAAUCUCCGGGCUUAACUCGGAACGGUCAAGUGAUACUGUCGGACUAGAGUACAGAAGGGGCAACUGGAAUUCUCGGUGUAGCGGUGAAAUGCGUAGAUAUCGAGAGGAACACCUGCGGCGAAGGCGGGUUGCUGGGCUGAUACUGACGCUGAGGCGCGAAAGCCAGGGGAGCGAACGGGAUUAGAUACCCCGGUAGUCCUGGCCUUAACGAUGAAUGCUUGGUGUCUCGGGUUAUAAAGUCCCGGGGUGCCGUCGCUAACGCUUUUAGCAUUCCGCCUGGGGAGUACGGUCGCAAGACUGAAACUCAAAGGAAUUGACGGGGA